Larimichthys crocea (large yellow croaker) is the source of this 579-nucleotide long non-coding RNA. RefSeq lists it as uncharacterized. NCBI's taxonomy places the organism in Eukaryota, Metazoa, Chordata, Actinopteri, Sciaenidae. The record is from RefSeq and is a predicted model, not a curated record. The transcript has 2 exons.
CGCAGUCAAGAAGCUAGCUGGCUACAAAGGGAGGUGCUAUGUUGCUGCUAGCUUGCAAAAAGAAAAAUGGGACGGGUCCACCCGACAGACAAACGAAGGUGUGGUACCGAGCCGAGCCGAGCCGAGCCGCAUCUCUGCCCGCGCUUCGGUCACAGCCAUUUUGAAACCUUUUAGUCACAAUUGGCGGCACGAAACGUUAAAAUGUAGCCUCCGGUUAACGGCAGAGGAUGCCGGGCUCCGGUGGGCGGCUAACGGUGACAGAGCGACGCCUUUACCUGGAACUGCUCUUCGAGCCGGGCUCCAUCCCCUGCCCGGUGCUGGUUCCCCGAAAUCAACCUGUCUGUCUGUCUCCGGUCGGAGGGGAGCCGAGCGGGGCCGAGGAGAGCCGAGGGGAGCCGAGCGGAGCCUAAUGGAGCCGAGGAGAGCCGAGCGGGGCCGAGGGGAGCCGAGCGGGGCCGAGCGGAGCCUAAUGGAGCCGAGGAGAGCCGAGCGGAGCCGAGGGGAGCCGAGGGUCAAAAGGGCGGCAACGAGGCGCUGCCGCACUUUCGGGCGAAUUUCCAAAAUAAAACGUUAACUUCA